RNAcentral lists this ribosomal RNA (746 nucleotides) under uncultured Tomentella. Its description in RNAcentral is "eukaryotic LSU rRNA". The stretch from base 186 to 340 matches the Rfam family "5.8S ribosomal RNA". Lineage: Eukaryota; Fungi; Basidiomycota; Agaricomycetes; Thelephorales; Thelephoraceae. The record is from RNAcentral.
CGGGUUGUUGCUGGCCCCCAAACCGGGCACGUGCACGCCCUGUUUACGCAUCCACUCACACCUGUGCACCCUCUGUAGUUCUGUGGACCGGGAGACGUCGUCUUCCUUCCGUGGCUCUACGUCUUUACACACANGCCGUAGCGAAGUCUCAUGGAAUGUUUUUCGCGUUUAACGCAAUACAAUACAACUUUCAGCAACGGAUCUCUUGGCUCUCGCAUCGAUGAAGAACGCAGCGAAAUGCGAUAAGUAAUGUGAAUUGCAGAAUUCAGUGAAUCAUCGAAUCUUUGAACGCACCUUGCGCCCCUUGGUUAUUCCUCGGGGCAUGCCUGUUUGAGUAUCAUGAACACCUCAACUCUCGUGGUCUUCCAUGAUGAGCUUGGACUUUGGGGGUUUGCUGGCCCUGUGGCCGGCUCCUCUCAAACGAAUCAGCUUGCCAGUGUUUGGCGGCGUCACGGGUGUGAUAACCAUCUACGCUUGCGAUCGCCUGCCAGAUAACCCUCAGCGAUGAAGGUUCAUUGGGGCUCACAAAAGUCUCUCCACGGCGAGGACGAAUUUUGAAUGUUCGAUCUCAAAUCAGGUAGGACUACCCGCUGAACUUAAGCAUAUCAAUAAGCGGAGGAAAAGAAACUAACAAGGAUUCCCCUAGUAACUGCGAGUGAAGCGGGAAGAGCUCAAAUUUAAAAUCUGGCGUGCCUCCGGUCGUCCGAAUUGUAGUCUGGAGAAGCGUUUUCCGUGCUGGAGUGUAC